Molecule: ribosomal RNA, 119 nt
Organism: Lepisosteus oculatus (spotted gar)
Lineage: Eukaryota; Metazoa; Chordata; Actinopteri; Semionotiformes; Lepisosteidae
Source: Rfam
GCCAGCAGCCAUAUUACACUGCAACUCACAACUGACAAACCACUGAAGCUACACAGUUGUGAGCCUGGUCAGUACCUGGAUGGGAGACCUCCUGGAAAAAACUAAGGUUGCUGCUGGAA